This 1599-nucleotide ribosomal RNA is filed under the name Salmonella enterica. RNAcentral's name for it is "partial 23S ribosomal RNA". It matches the Rfam family "Bacterial large subunit ribosomal RNA", at positions 161 to 1784 of the family's 2925-position model. Lineage: Bacteria; Pseudomonadati; Pseudomonadota; Gammaproteobacteria; Enterobacterales; Enterobacteriaceae. The record is from RNAcentral.
AAUCCAUAGGUUAAUGAGGCGAACCGGGGGAACUGAAACAUCUAAGUACCCCGAGGAAAAGAAAUCAACCGAGAUUCCCCCAGUAGCGGCGAGCGAACGGGGAGGAGCCCAGAGCCUGAAUCAGCAUGUGUGUUAGUGGAAGCGUCUGGAAAGGCGCGCGAUACAGGGUGACAGCCCCGUACACAAAAGCGCAUGUGCUGUGAGCUCGAUGAGUAGGGCGGGACACGUGGUAUCCUGUCUGAAUAUGGGGGGACCAUCCUCCAAGGCUAAAUACUCCUGACUGACCGAUAGUGAACCAGUACCGUGAGGGAAAGGCGAAAAGAACCCCGGCGAGGGGAGUGAAAAAGAACCUGAAACCGUGUACGUACAAGCAGUGGGAGCACCCUUUGGGUGUGACUGCGUACCUUUUGUAUAAUGGGUCAGCGACUUAUAUUCUGUAGCAAGGUUAACCGAAUAGGGGAGCCGGAGGGAAACCGAGUCUUAACCGGGCGUUAAGUUGCAGGGUAUAGACCCGAAACCCGGUGAUCUAGCCAUGGGCAGGUUGAAGGUUGGGUAACACUAACUGGAGGACCGAACCGACUAAUGUUGAAAAAUUAGCGGAUGACCUGUGGCUGGGGGUGAAAGGCCAAUCAAACCGGGAGAUAGCUGGUUCUCCCCGAAAGCUAUUUAGGUAGCGCCUCGUGAAUUCAUCUCCGGGGGUAGAGCACUGUUUCGGCUAGGGGGCCAUCCCGGCUUACCAACCCGAUGCAAACUGCGAAUACCGGAGAAUGUUAUCACGGGAGACACACGGCGGGUGCUAACGUCCGUCGUGAAGAGGGAAACAACCCAGACCGCCAGCUAAGGUCCCAAAGUCAUGGUUAAGUGGGAAACGAUGUGGGAAGGCCCAGACAGCCAGGAUGUUGGCUUAGAAGCAGCCAUCAUUUAAAGAAAGCGUAAUAGCUCACUGGUCGAGUCGGCCUGCGCGGAAGAUGUAACGGGGCUAAACCAUGCACCGAAGCUGCGGCAGCGACACUGUGUGUUGUUGGGUAGGGGAGCGUUCUGUAAGCCUGUGAAGGUGUGUCGUGAGGCAUGCUGGAGGUAUCAGAAGUGCGAAUGCUGACAUAAGUAACGAUAAAGCGGGUGAAAAGCCCGCUCGCCGGAAGACCAAGGGUUCCUGUCCAACGUUAAUCGGGGCAGGGUGAGUCGACCCCUAAGGCGAGGCCGAAAGGCGUAGUCGAUGGGAAACGGGUUAAUAUUCCCGUACUUGGUGUUACUGCGAAGGGGGGACGGAGAAGGCUAUGUUGGCCGGGCGACGGUUGUCCCGGUUUAAGCGUGUAGGUGUGUGUUCCAGGUAAAUCCGGUUCACUUUAACACUGAGGCGUGACGACGAGGCACUACGGUGCUGAAGCAACAAAUGCCCUGCUUCCAGGAAAAGCCUCUAAGCAUCAGGUAACAUCAAAUCGUACCCCAAACCGACACAGGUGGUCAGGUAGAGAAUACCAAGGCGCUUGAGAGAACUCGGGUGAAGGAACUAGGCAAAAUGGUGCCGUAACUUCGGGAGAAGGCACGCUGACACGUAGGUGAAGUGAUUUACUCAUGGAGCUGAAGUCAGUCGAAGAU